UGUGAGGCUGAUGUGUAGGCAAAUCCGCACAUCAUUAAGGCUGGGCUGUGAUGGGGAGCGAAAAUUGCAGUAGCGAAGGUCAUGAGUUCAGGCUGCCAAGAAAAGCCUCUAGCCAGGUGAAGGUGCCCGUACCGCAAACCGACACAGGUAGGCGACAGAGUAUGCUAAGGCGCUCGGAAGAACUCUCGUUAAGGAACUCGGCAAAAUGACCCCGUAACUUCGGGAGAAGGGGUGCCUCGGUAGGGUGAAUAGCCCGAGGGGGCCGCAGUGAAAAGGCCCAAGCGACUGUUUAGCAAAAACACAGGUCUGUGCGAAGCCGUAAGGCGAAGUAUACGGGCUGACGCCUGCCCGGUGCUGGAAGGUUAAGGGGAGUGGUUAGCCGCAAGGCGAAGCUAUGAACCGAAGCCCCAGUAAACGGCGGCCGUAACGAUAACGGUCCUAAGGUAGCGAAAUUCCUUGUCAGGUAAAUUCUGACCCGCACGAAUGGCGUAACGACUUGGGCGCUGUCUCAACGAGAGAUCCGGUGAAAUUUUAAUACCUGUGAAGAUGCAGGUUACCCGCGACAAGACGGAAAGACCCCAUGGAGCUUUACUGCAGCUUGAUAUUGGACUUUGGUACGAUCUGUACAGGAUAGGUGGGAGCCUUGGAAACCGGAGCGCCAGCUUCGGUGGAGGCAUCGUUGGGAUACCACCCUGAUCGUAUCGGAGUUCUAACCUGGUACCGUGAUCCGGUACAGGGACCGUGUCAGGUGGGCAGUUUGACUGGGGCGGUCGCCUCCUAAAAUGUAACGGAGGCGCCCAAAGGUUCCCUCAGAAUGGUUGGAAAUCAUUCGUAGCGUGCAAAGGCAUAAGGGAGCUUGACUGCGAGACCUACAAGUCGAGCAGGGACGAAAGUCGGGCUUAGUGAUCCGGUGGUACCGCAUGGAAGGGCCAUCGCUCAACGGAUAAAAGCUACCCUGGGGAUAACAGGCUUAUCUCCCCCAAGAGUCCACAUCGACGGGGAGGUUUGGCACCUCGAUGUCGGCUCAUCGCAUCCUGGGGCUGAAGUAGGUCCCAAGGGUUGGGCUGUUCGCCCAUUAAAGCGGUACGCGAGCUGGGUUCAGAACGUCGUGAGACAGUUCGGUCCCUAUCUGUCGUGGGCGUAGGAAAUUUGAGAGGAGCUGUCCUUAGUACGAGAGGACCGGGAUGGACGCACCGCUGGUGUACCAGUUGUUCCGCCAGGAGCAUAGCUGGGUAGCUACGUGCGGACGGGAUAAGCGCUGAAAGCAUCUAAGCGUGAAGCCCCCCUCAAGAUGAGAUUUCCCAGUAUGUAAGACCCCUGGAAGACGACCAGGUUGAUAGGUUCGAGGUGGAAGCGCAGCAAUGCGUGGAGCUGACGAAUACUAAUCGGUCGAGGGCUUAUCC
This 1403-nucleotide ribosomal RNA is filed under the name metagenome. RNAcentral's name for it is "bacterial LSU rRNA". It matches the Rfam family "Bacterial large subunit ribosomal RNA", at positions 1518 to 2925 of the family's 2925-position model. The record is from RNAcentral.